CUUAACAACCUUGAGGUAGGCAUUUCAUCAACCACAAGGAACCACGUUCUGAGCCUCGGUCUUUGUCCUUGAUUGAAAGGGACAAACUUUGAGCCACUAUAAAGUUUUCCUGGAGUCCACGGACCCCACGGUGAGCAAACAACAGGGGAAUCGACCUCAUCAGAGCCACUAGGCAACUACCCCGCAGAGCACUCAGAGCAAGGAUCACAAUCUGCUGCAUAUGCAUGAGGGGGCCAUGGGCCCGAGGUUCGGGGCUGCCCACGCUGUGCCUGACUAAAAAUUCUUUGGGCUUGAAGGCCUUGGCUCCCCAUAAUUUUAUUUAAGUACGUAGGAAGUAUCUAAAGGACUGUCCAAGGCGGAUGCUCAGGGCAGAGCGGCAAAGAGCCACCCACUUGGGACACUCUGAUCAGGCGUCUGCCAUAGAUAGCCCGAUCGGGGUCCUCGGGCCGCUCGCCUAGAAGACCGAGGGGGCGUCUCCCCAGCUCCUGCGGCGUCGGUGGCGAGCUGAGGCGGAGGCCAGCUUGCAGCAGUGACGGCGACGGCGACAGUGGCGGCGGCGCCAUGGCGGGGCUCGCAGCUCUAGCAUCACAUCCUCAGAAGCCUGGAUCCCUCGGACAGUGUUGAUUCGGGCAUGGAGACCCCAGACUGCAUCAAGUUUGCGUUUCAGAGCAUGGAAGGAUCAUGAAGACGGCUGCAGCUCCACAAAGGUGGCCUUGGCAGGAGUUGGUUCAGAUGAUACUGUCGCAGAUGAUGAAAUGCCUUGGCAGAGCCAUGCAGGUAUUUCGGUACAGUUCCCUGUGUCUAGUCUCUUCAUGCUGUUGGUCUGUCACCGCUGAGCCAAUGCCAUAUUUUAAUGAGCAGAGCUUUGUAUAGUGUCUUAAUAUCAGAUAUGGUGGUGUCCACGCCAGAGGUGCUUCUGAGCCCUGCACCCUACAGGACUGGCUUCGAGUGGCCGCCCACAUCUGCGUUCGCUCCAGUGCUCCUCAACUGGUUGGAACCAAUUUUACCGCCUUUUAUUGAGUUGUUUUCUAUUGACUGACUAUUGAAAUGCUUCCAGUGCUCUUCAUUAAGAUGCCCCUCCAGGAAUAGCCUGGCAUUGCCCCUUCUGCUCAUAUGAGAGUAUUUUUCUGAGACAGAGCCUUAGAACUGUGGGGCCACAGGGAAGACACCUCCUAAAUUCAGACAGAAACAGAUAAAAUGUCCUUCAAAGAGUCUUUCCAAUUCACUCUGCUGCCAGAACUGCUCCAAGGUUAAUGUUUCCACCAACAGGGUAAUGAAAAUAAAUCUCGUUAGUGUGUAUUUUUCUGCAUCACUAGUAAGGCGGAAGUUUCUGUUGACUUUCAUUCAUACUUUCUUCGAUGACUUGCUUGUCUGUAUUCUGUGUCCCGUGCUUUCUUUUCUUUCAUUUUUCUGAGAAAACGAAAGUCUCUCUAUGUAGUCUGUGCUGGCCUCAAACUUGAGAUCCUCCUGCGUCAGUCUCCCAAGUACUAGGAUUGCAGAUGGGCCGCCAUAUCCUGCUUGCUCCCUUCCUUCUUUCCUCCCUCCCUUUUAAAGCUAUUUUUUCUUUUCUUGGUUCCUCUUUAUGUAUUUCACGUAUCUCAUAUUCUAGCGCUUUGUUGUAGUUAAUGCCAAAGUUUUCCACAUCGUGCUUUUUUGCCAUUUAAUUGAAUUGCUUUUAGAGAAAUUUAAAAUUUGAUCCAAUCAUAUGUGUCAUAUAUAAAGAACAAAUUCUACAUGCAUGAACCUUACCAUCACCCCUCCUCAACACUAAUUGUCUCAGCACUGUCUAUGGAUGGUAGACGACUUCACUGAUUUAAACUUACUACCUUCAUCUGCCACCACCCCCAUGUGGUAUGUGUCAGGCUGUCUCUGGCCCUCCGAUGUGCCCGUCUGUUCUCAGGCCUGAUGAUGAGCUUUGAUACCAGUCAGGACAGAUUGAUCUGCUUUGUUGCUUUUAUAGAAUCAUUUCGGUCGUUCUUGCAUGGUAGCCCUUCCACGUUGAUUUUUUAAUUAGCCUGUCAAGUUUCAAGAAAAAUUUUGCUAGGAAAUUUUGUCAGGGUUACACUGAAUUUACAGAUAAAUCUGAGGAAAAUCGACAUCUUUGUCAUGCAGUCCCCUGGCCAGUACAUAUUGUACCCUCCCAGUUCAGAUCAUCGAGUGCAUGGCUGGUUUGCACUGGGUAAACUCUUGUCUGUUUCUUGAUAGAUUUAUUCCUCAGGCCUUUGCAGGGCUGCCAGCAACUGUGAACGGGGCCCCUCGGCUCUUCUCUACGUGGCCCCUGUUCUCCAUAUUCCAUCUCAAUCUGUUUACUAAUCACCAGGCUUGCUCUGCAGACACACAAAGUAAAUGUUCUUCCUCCCUGGGCACAAACACAUGAGCUCGGCCAAACACACAGAGCUGACAUAAUUAGCUGAAAACAAAUUAGAAUCUUUUCAAAUUAUGUUUUAAUUAAAGAAGCAAAGCAUGAAUACAUUCUUCCAUUUAGAGGUAGAAUGACCAAAUCCACCUGUCUUCUCCUCAGCUGCCCAAGAGCCCGGGGUUUUCUCCUCCAGGAAGCCUUAGUUAAGAGUUUCUGGAUCUCUUUCCAGAGUCACACGCAACAUAGCAUCGAUGCAGGUAUUUGGAGAAAAUGUUCCCCCCAUGGUUGAUGUACAGUAUCUUGCCGUCCGCCUAGGUCACACUCCUGUGUUGCGUGUUUUCCCUUUGAAACACCCACAAGCCUGCAGUAAGUUUUUUCCUCUUUGUUGGAAAAAGUCAUCAGAGAACACCAAGUCACAUGUUUCAGAAACACUCCUUAGAAGACCUGGGUUCGAUUCCCAGCACCCACAUGGCAGCUAACAACCAUCCAUAACUCCAGUUCAAGGGAUCCAACGUCCUCUUCUGACCUCCGUGGGCACUACACAACACGGAUCCACUUAAAUACAUGGAGGCAAUACACAUACACAUAAAAUAAAAAUAAAAUAUCUUUUAAAAAGAAGUUCUCAGAAUAGUAUUGGGAGCCUUGUUCCUAAGCUGUCCACAGUUUGAGUUUUUGGUUUGUGUGGUUUUGAGUUUUUGAAACUGGGUCUCAUGUAUGCCCGGCUAGCCUCAAAUUUACUGUGUAGCUUAGGAUAACCUUGAACUCUUUUUUUUUAAAAAAAAAAAAAAAAAAAUUUAUUUUUUUUUUUAAUUAUGUGUAUAUGUGGGAGGUAGAUGGGUAUGUGCAUGUGAGUGCAGGUGCCUGUGGAAACCAAAGGUGUCAGAUCUCCCAGGAGCAGGAGUUACAGCUGAACCACCUGUUGUGGUUGAUGGAAGUCGAACUGAGGUCCCCUGGAAGAGGAGUAUGUGCUCUUAACCUCUGAGUCAUCUCUCCAGCCCAACCUUGGACUCCUGAUCCACCUGCCUCCACCUCCCAAGUGUUAGAAUUAUAGACCACCAUGCCCAGCCAAAUCUAGAAUCCUAUCUUGCCUUAUGAAGGCCUCUCCUAAUACCAUCUUCACAACCAUUUUUUAAAAUAUUUUUAUUAUUUUAUGUGUAUGAGUAUACUGCCUGCAUGUAUGUGAGUGCACCCGUGUCAUGCAAUGCUGAGGAAGUCAGAAGAGAGCUUCAGAU
Nannospalax galili (Upper Galilee mountains blind mole rat) is the source of this 3591-nucleotide RNA transcript. It is a transcript of the gene named BLCAP apoptosis inducing factor, with no coding region annotated. The transcript has 4 exons. Lineage: Eukaryota; Metazoa; Chordata; Mammalia; Rodentia; Spalacidae. The record is from RefSeq and is a predicted model, not a curated record.